RNAcentral lists this transfer RNA (72 nucleotides) under Bos taurus (domestic cattle). It matches the Rfam family "tRNA". From Rfam's summary of the family: Transfer RNA (tRNA) molecules are approximately 80 nucleotides in length. Their secondary structure includes four short double-helical elements and three loops (D, anti-codon, and T loops). Lineage: Eukaryota; Metazoa; Chordata; Mammalia; Artiodactyla; Bovidae. RNAcentral also lists the same sequence under 5 other names. The record is from Rfam by way of RNAcentral.
UCCCUUGUGGCUCAGCUGGUAAAGAAUCUGCCUGUAAUGCAGGAGACCUGGGUUCGAUUGCUGGCUUGGGAA